GCGUUACUUUACACAAACUCUUGAAUGUCAUAGAAUGUAUAUUGGCCUACGGGCUUUAAUUUAAAUACAACUUUCAACAACGGAUCUCUUGGCUCUCGCAUCGAUGAAGAACGCAGCGAAAUGCGAUAAGUAAUGUGAAUUGCAGAAUUCAGUGAAUCAUCGAAUCUUUGAACGCACCUUGCGCUCCUUGGUAUUCCGAGGAGCAUGCCUGUUUGAGUGUCGUGAACAUAUCAACCCCGACGGGAUUUUAAUCUCGACGGUGGCUUGGACUUGGGAGCCUGCUGGCCGUUGUACUUCGGUCGGCUCUCCUUGAAUGCAUUAGCUUGGACUUGUUUCAUGGGCUGCAUAGCGUGAUAACUAUCUACGCUUUGUACUGUCUGUGGGAUACUCAUGAGUCUGGCUUCUAAUCGUCCUCUGGACAAUUACUUUACGUUUUGACCUCAAAUCAGGUAGGACUACCCGCUGAACUUAAGCAUAUCAAUAAGCGGAGGAAAAGAAACUAACAAGGAUUCCCCUAGUAACUGCGAGUGAAGCGGGAUGAGCUCAAAUUUAAAAUCUGGCGGUUAUGCCGUCCGAGUUGUAAUCUGGAGAAGCGUCUUCCGCGC
RNAcentral lists this ribosomal RNA (605 nucleotides) under uncultured fungus. Its description in RNAcentral is "eukaryotic LSU rRNA". The stretch from base 69 to 222 matches the Rfam family "5.8S ribosomal RNA". The record is from RNAcentral. Lineage: Eukaryota; Fungi.